GACGUAGGGCGCGAGCGUUGUCCGGAUUUAUUGGGCGUAAAGAGCUCGUAGGCGGCUUGUUGCGUCGACUGUGAAAACCCGCGGCUUAACUGCGGGCUUGCAGUUGAUACGGGCAGGCUAGAGUUCGGUAGGGGAGACUGGAAUUCCUGGUGUAGCGGUGAAAUGCGCAGAUAUCAGGAGGAACACCGGUGGCGAAGGCGGGUCUCUGGGCCGAUACUGACGCUGAGGAGCGAAAACGUGGGGAGCGAACAGG
This 253-nucleotide ribosomal RNA is filed under the name uncultured bacterium. Its description in RNAcentral is "partial 16S ribosomal RNA". It matches the Rfam family "Bacterial small subunit ribosomal RNA", at positions 524 to 776 of the family's 1533-position model. The record is from RNAcentral.